This 1046-nucleotide ribosomal RNA is filed under the name uncultured bacterium. Its description in RNAcentral is "bacterial SSU rRNA". It matches the Rfam family "Bacterial small subunit ribosomal RNA", at positions 335 to 1397 of the family's 1533-position model. The record is from RNAcentral.
ACUCCUACGGGAGGCAGCAGUGGGGAAUAUUGCGCAAUGGGGGAAACCCUGACGCAGCAACGCCGCGUGAAGGAUGAAGGUUUUCGGAUUGUAAACUUCUUUGAUUGGGGACGAAGAAAUGACGGUACCCAAAAAACAAGCCACGGCUAACUACGUGCCAGCAGCCGCGGUAAUACGUAGGUGGCGAGCGUUGUCCGGAAUUACUGGGUGUAAAGGGCGUGUAGGCGGGAAUGUAAGUCAGAUGUGAAAUUCCAGGGCUCAACCCUGGCGCUGCAUCUGAAACUAUGUUUCUUGAGUGCUGGAGAGGAAAGCGGAAUUCCUAGUGUAGCGGUGAAAUGCGUAGAUAUUAGGAGGAACACCAGUGGCGAAGGCGGCUUUCUGGACAGUAACUGACGCUGAGGCGCGAAAGCGUGGGGAGCAAACAGGGAUUAGAUACCCUGGUAGUCCACGCUGUAAACGAUGGAUACUAGGUGUAGGAGGUAUCGACCCCUUCUGUGCCGCAGUUAACACAAUAAGUAUCCCACCUGGGGAGUACGGCCGCAAGGUUGAAACUCAAAGGAAUUGACGGGGGCCCGCACAAGCAGUGGAGUAUGUGGUUUAAUUCGAAGCAACGCGAAGAACCUUACCAGGGCUUGACAUACCAUUGAAGUACCCAGAGAUGGGUAUGUCCUUCGGGACAAUGGAUACAGGUGGUGCAUGGUUGUCGUCAGCUCGUGUCGUGAGAUGUUGGGUUAAGUCCCGCAACGAGCGCAACCCCUAUUGUUAGUUGCCAUCAUUAAGUUGGGCACUCUAGCGAGACUGCCGGUGACAAAUCGGAGGAAGGUGGGGACGACGUCAAAUCAUCAUGCCCCUUAUGUCCUGGGCUACACACGUACUACAAUGGCUAUUACAGCAGGAUGCGAAAGAGUAAUCUGGAGCCAAUCCCUAAAAAUAGCCCCAGUUCAGAUUGUGGGCUGCAACUCGCCCACAUGAAGUCGGAAUUGCUAGUAAUUGCAGGUCAGCAUACUGCAGUGAAUACGUUCCCGGGCCUUGUACACACCGCCCGU